GCUUAGCUCAGCUGGUUUAGAGCAUCUGCCUUACAAGCAGAGGGUCGGCGGUUCGAAUCCGUCAGCG
This 67-nucleotide transfer RNA is filed under the name Hoylesella loescheii. It matches the Rfam family "tRNA", at positions 5 to 66 of the family's 71-position model. Rfam says of the family: Transfer RNA (tRNA) molecules are approximately 80 nucleotides in length. Their secondary structure includes four short double-helical elements and three loops (D, anti-codon, and T loops). Lineage: Bacteria; Pseudomonadati; Bacteroidota; Bacteroidia; Bacteroidales; Prevotellaceae. The record is from RNAcentral. RNAcentral also lists the same sequence under 3 other names.